Rhamnusium bicolor is the source of this 74-nucleotide non-coding RNA. The record is from the annotation of a GenBank genome assembly. NCBI's taxonomy places the organism in Eukaryota, Metazoa, Arthropoda, Insecta, Coleoptera, Cerambycidae.
GACUUUGUGGUCGAGUGGUAAAGACACUUGCCCAUCAUGCUGGAGUCCCAUGUUUGAUCCCUAGUCGAGGAGCU